UGAGUUGAAACUGUGUGUACAUCCUAAUUCUAUUAAUAUAAAAACAUAUUCAUUUAGUCGAGGAGACUUAAUAAGUGAUAUAGUAACAGUAGUGAAGCAACUGUUCAAAAUAUCUGAUACUACUGAAUGUAGAAUAUGGGAACGUGACUUCACAGGCAAAUAUACAAUAUUAACUGAUUUUCAACAAACAGUAUCUCUUGCUGGUUUAUAUGGAGGACAAAUGUUAAUGCUUGAAAAGAGAAAUCCUGAUGAAACUUGGCCAAGAGAUUAAACUAAAUAAAUUUACAUUUUUGUAGCUACAUUGAGUAUGAUAGUAGAGCUGAACUUAGUCUAUAUAAAUUAUUAUUAUUUCCCAUGGUACUUAGCUGUUAAAAUUACUGGCUGUAGACUUUAUAUAAAUCUAAA
Molecule: long non-coding RNA, 405 nt
Organism: Amphimedon queenslandica
Lineage: Eukaryota; Metazoa; Porifera; Demospongiae; Haplosclerida; Niphatidae
Exons: 3
Source: RefSeq, a predicted model, not a curated record